RNAcentral lists this ribosomal RNA (106 nucleotides) under Bacillus halotolerans. Its description in RNAcentral is "partial 16S ribosomal RNA". It matches the Rfam family "Bacterial small subunit ribosomal RNA", at positions 1436 to 1533 of the family's 1533-position model. The record is from RNAcentral. Lineage: Bacteria; Bacillati; Bacillota; Bacilli; Caryophanales; Bacillaceae.
UAACCUUUAUGGAGCCAGCCGCCGAAGGUGGGACAGAUGAUUGGGGUGAAGUCGUAACAAGGUAGCCGUAUCGGAAGGUGCGGCUGGAUCACCUCCUUUCUAAGGA